Erinaceus europaeus (western European hedgehog) is the source of this 141-nucleotide small nucleolar RNA. NCBI's taxonomy places the organism in Eukaryota, Metazoa, Chordata, Mammalia, Eulipotyphla, Erinaceidae. The record is from Ensembl.
GUGCACAUUUCAUUGACCUGCUUUCUUCUAUCUGUGUGAGCAGUCUUAUUUUUAUGUGCUAUACAAACAGAUGAAGGUUCGAACAUUAGCAGUAUAUCUAAAUAGUUGUGCUUCCAUGCUGCCAGUCUCCUUCAGAUAGUU